Molecule: non-coding RNA, 83 nt
Organism: Myotis lucifugus (little brown bat)
Lineage: Eukaryota; Metazoa; Chordata; Mammalia; Chiroptera; Vespertilionidae
Source: Rfam
AGGCCUUCAGAGAGAGAGGCAGGCUCUGAUCCACAGCCUUCGUGGCAGCUGUUGAUCAGCUGUUGCCUCGCUCUUUCUCUCCC